RNAcentral lists this long non-coding RNA (804 nucleotides) under Panax ginseng (ginseng). Its description in RNAcentral is "long non-coding RNA (PGIN_LNC014500)". Lineage: Eukaryota; Viridiplantae; Streptophyta; Magnoliopsida; Apiales; Araliaceae. The record is from RNAcentral.
UGCCAACCACCACAACCACCAUAUUCCUUAUAACACCAUGCACCACCUUUAAUACCAUAAUUGUCGCCACCAUUUCACCCAUACUCCAACUCAUUCCUACUAUAAAAAUUCCAGAUUUGAUAUUUCUCUGUAGCAUGCACCACCACCCACCACCACAAAAACUUACUUUCGCCCACCACCACCUCAAAACACUACAUCUAACUACAAAUUCGAACAAACAACAACACUACAAAAAGUAUAAAUAGGGAUGAAAACUGAUAGAGCUGAAGAAAGAAAACACUUACCGCUUUUAUUGUGAAUCGAAGCUUUUAUUGAGGGUUUGGCUAUGGUGGUUGGACAUGAUCUGAUCGGCCGGUAGGGGUGUGGCUGUAUCGGAGCGUAGCAGUGUUGCAGCGUGGCGGCCUUUUUUCCUUCUUUAUGCACCUAAUUGUGUACGUUUCUUAUUGAGAGGAUCUUUAUCGCUUCCAUUGUUGUUGUUGGUGAUGAAGAGAGAGAGAGAGACUAGAUCUGGGAAGAAGAAGAUUCGAUGAGGAUUGUAAGAGAGAGCAGAUGAGGAUUGUAAAAUUUGAUGAGGAAAGAGAGAGUAGGUCUUCGUUUCUAAACAUGUUUAACUGUUUUUUUUCCUUCUAAUUGUAUUAAGUAUUUUAAUUUUUUAAUGACGGUCAAAUCGUAUAAAACUAAAGAGUAAAAUACAGUGACACCCCCUCUAGAUAAUUAUAAUAACACUCACCUCCCCUCUAGUUUCUUAAGUAACAGUUAGUAUCCUGCAAGUUUUUAGGAUUGACUAAAUAGAUAAAGUUACAU